AUAAAUCCUGUUGCUUCAAACAAAAGCUCAUAGACCUUGGGAGGAAGGAAGACAGCCUCUUGCUAUACACUUUAGAAAGGACACUUAGGUGAUAUUCAUGGUCAAAUGUUAGCAGGGCUGUUUAGGGCCAAUUCACACAUAUGUGGACAAAACUCAGGAAACAAGAAACUCCCUGUUUAGCAAUUGUCUUUUCUUUUGCAGCUUCUCUUUUCUUCUCUCUUUUCUGAAGAACGAAUGGAUGUACAGCCAUUUCUGGUAUUCCUAAUUCCUUUCCUUCAUUUUAUCAUUUUUCUUUUUACUCUUCGAUGUCUGGAAUGGAAGUUUGGAAAGAAAUCAAUGAGAAAGGAUCCUUUCUUUAGAAUUUCUCCAAGAAGUAGUGAUGUGUGUCAAAAUCCAGAAGAACCAGAAGGAGAAGAUGAAGAUGUUCAGAUGGAAAGAGUGAGAACAGCAAAUGCCUUGAAUUCUACUAAUUUUGAUGAGAAGCCAGUCAUCAUUGCCAGCUGUCUACGCAAGGAGUAUGCAGGGAAGAGGAAAGGCUGUUUUUCCAAGAGGAAGAAUAAGAUAGCCACGAGAAAUGUCUCCUUCUGUGUUAGAAAAGGUGAAGUUUUAGGACUAUUAGGACACAAUGGAGCUGGUAAAAGCACAUCCAUUAAGAUGAUAACUGGAGACACAAAACCAACUGCUGGACAGGUGCUACUGAAAGGGAGCGGUGGAGGGGAUGCCCUGGAGUUCCUGGGGUACUGCCCUCAGGAGAACGCGCUGUGGCCCAACCUGACAGUGAGGCAGCACCUGGAGGUGUACGCCGCCGUGAAAGGGCUGAGGAAAGGAGAUGCUGAGGUUGCCAUCACACGGUUAGUGGAUGCGCUCAAGCUGCA
RNAcentral lists this small RNA (875 nucleotides) under Pongo abelii (Sumatran orangutan). RNAcentral's name for it is "retained intron". Lineage: Eukaryota; Metazoa; Chordata; Mammalia; Primates; Hominidae. The record is from RNAcentral.